CCCCCUCUCUCUGUCUACCUCUCUGCUCCUCUCAGUCAUCAGUUCAAACCCUAGAAAAUUGGGGAUUUUUCCAAUAUCAAAGGAUUGACCAAUCUUUCAGUCACAGGCAUAUGUUGAAAAUUUUGGAGCGGAGCAAGGGAUGUGGAGGUGGAUCUUAUUUGGGAUAGGCUUCGUUUUUGGGAUUCCCUUUGGCCGUUGGUAUCUUCAGAAGUUAAGGAUUGUUCCUUUCAAGGUAUAUUGUAUUAUUAGAAUUCUGCUGUCAACUACAAGUUUUGUUCGUCUAGUGCCAUGUAUCUUUGUUAAGUUGUUUACCUAGUAUAGCUAGACCAGUGGACAACUUGUCCCUUGUAUUGUUAUGUUCUCUUCUUAAUGAAAUUAUGUUUCUUAUUA
Molecule: long non-coding RNA, 390 nt
Organism: Prunus dulcis (almond)
Lineage: Eukaryota; Viridiplantae; Streptophyta; Magnoliopsida; Rosales; Rosaceae
Exons: 3
Source: RefSeq, a predicted model, not a curated record